RNAcentral lists this ribosomal RNA (330 nucleotides) under uncultured bacterium. Its description in RNAcentral is "bacterial SSU rRNA". It matches the Rfam family "Bacterial small subunit ribosomal RNA", at positions 568 to 898 of the family's 1533-position model. The record is from RNAcentral.
UGCGUAGGCGGUCCCGCAAGUCCGUUGUGAAAGCCCCGGGCUUAACCUGGGAAUGGCAGUGGAAACUAGGGGACUUGAAUCUGGCAGAGGGGGGUGGAAUGCCACGUGUAGCAGUGAAAUGCGUAGAGAUGUGGCGGAACACCGAUGGCGAAGGCAGCCCCCUGGGCUGAGAUUGACGCCCAGGCACGAAAGCGUGGGGAGCAAACAGGAUUAGAUACCCUGGUAGUCCACGCUCUAAACGAUGAUCACUAGGUGUUGGGGAAGCGAUUUCUCAGUACCGCAGCUAACGCGUGAAGUGAUCCGCCUGGGGAGUACGGUCGCAAGAUUAAA